This is a long non-coding RNA of Triticum dicoccoides, 1430 nucleotides long. RefSeq lists it as uncharacterized. The transcript has 4 exons. Lineage: Eukaryota; Viridiplantae; Streptophyta; Magnoliopsida; Poales; Poaceae. The record is from RefSeq and is a predicted model, not a curated record.
CACGCCAGCGCGCCGCCGCCCGCCCUCGAUGUGAUCGACGCCGACGAGGUUCCGUCAUCGACAUAUAUCUCGACAAGGUACUAGGUGAGAGGAACGUUCCCAUCAGGCCAAACAGCGAGAGGAACAAUUCCAUCAGGCUAAAUGUCAAGCAGCAGCCAUGCCUGACGCAUACGACAUCAUGCCUUGCCGAGUGGUACUGUCGAUUCAACUCGGAUGCAGCAGUACACACGUACUCUCCUCUUUCUGAUCAGGAAUGCGGUGAAGGCAGGUGCUCUAAUAAGGUGAAAGGUAUAUCCGUAUAUGAUGGAUUUCCCAGUUGAACACUCCAAAAAAUCAAUCUUGCAGCUAAGUAUUCUUGGCGUAGUUUAUUCCCAGUUUUUCAUUCAAGGAUCAAUCUCAUUUGUUUCUUUUAACAUAUAAACUAAAAUGCCACAAAAUUGCCCUGUUGUUAAAUUUUCGGACAUGUUUUCUUUCUUCGUAACAUAUUCAAUGUCUAAUCAGAAGGUACACAUGAAUGCAUUCUUUGUCUUUUCACUUUGAGGGCCUCCCCGCAUUUUUUUAGCAACACACACACACACACACACACACUCAUGUUAAGUGCCAAGGUUUAACUGAAUUGCCUUGUGAUCCGGUUUCUCGACGGGCCAAUCAUGAUUCAUAGGAAUGGACAUUUACGCCGUAGUGAAGUACACACAUUAUGUUUGACACAAUUGAUCUUGUGGUACUAAACUUUUAUGCCCAGUAAGUAUACACCAAGGUCCCCGCAAGGGCACGAGUAGCAUUGAAGUUUUGAUCCACCACUUCCGUUGAGCAAUCCCGGUGUGUUAAGAACAGUGAUAUAACUUUGUCUUUGAUGAUUUAUUGCGAUGCUUUCCUUUUUUCACGGAAUUACCAGAAAUACGAAAGGGAGAAGUCAAAGCUUGUGAAGAAAUGUAGCACUUCCAAGUUGUUGGCCGAUGAUGAUGAUGAUAAGAUUGACAACCACAUGACGAGCUCGCCGAGUGCAUCCUCUAAGGGUAUGAAGCAUUUUCGGAGGAAGACUGAAGACCAAGAGGAUGGGAAUGAUGAUGGAAACAAUAGCAAAUAUUUACGAGAGGAGUCCAAAGGAGAACACAAUAAAUGGAUAAUGAAGGCGGUGUGGACACUCUUGAUGUAUGCCAUUCUUUCUUGGAUCUGAUCUUUUUUAUACAUAAAAACACAUAGGUAUGGAAUAGUCAAUUAAAAUGUACAACAUCGCCUUGCCCAAAAAACAAGUUUUGAUGCGUCUUAUUUUAGGUCAACAUCAAGUGUAUUUUUGUUAAUUUAGAUAUUGUUGCUUGGAUUGGGGAGAUGGACAGGCUAAGAUAGUGAGUGUAGGAAGAAGACUGGUGUAAUGAAAAGUUGACAAUGCAUCUGAUAUGCAUGAGGAUAUAAUCAAUGUUAAACCACUA